RNAcentral lists this ribosomal RNA (258 nucleotides) under Mycobacterium tuberculosis. RNAcentral's name for it is "partial 16S ribosomal RNA". It matches the Rfam family "Bacterial small subunit ribosomal RNA", at positions 434 to 701 of the family's 1533-position model. Lineage: Bacteria; Bacillati; Actinomycetota; Actinomycetes; Mycobacteriales; Mycobacteriaceae. The record is from RNAcentral.
GAGUGUGAGAGUGGAAAGUUCACACUGUGACGGUAUCUUACCAGAAAGGGACGGCUAACUACGUGCCAGCAGCCGCGGUAAUACGUAGGUCCCGAGCGUUGUCCGGAUUUAUUGGGCGUAAAGCGAGCGCAGGCGGUUAGAUAAGUCUGAAGUUAAAGGCUGUGGCUUAACCAUAGUAGGCUUUGGAAACUGUUUAACUUGAGUGCAAGAGGGGAGAGUGGAAUUCCAUGUGUAGCGGUGAAAUGCGUAGAUAUAUGG